UACGAAGGGGGCUAGCGUUACUCGGAUUGACUGGGCGUAAAGGGCGCGUAGGCGGUUUGUACAGUCAGACGUGAAAUUCCUGGGCUCAACCUGGGGGCUGCGUUUGAUACGUGCGGACUUGAGUUCGGAAGAGGGUCGUGGAAUUCCCAGUGUAGAGGUGAAAUUCGUAGAUAUUGGGAAGAACACCGAUGGCGAAGGCAGCCUCCUGGGCCAACACUGACGCUCAUGCACGAAAGCGUGGGGAGCAAACAGG
Molecule: ribosomal RNA, 253 nt
Filed under: uncultured bacterium
Lineage: Bacteria
Description: partial 16S ribosomal RNA
Rfam family: Bacterial small subunit ribosomal RNA
Source: RNAcentral